RNAcentral lists this ribosomal RNA (467 nucleotides) under uncultured bacterium. RNAcentral's name for it is "partial 16S ribosomal RNA". It matches the Rfam family "Bacterial small subunit ribosomal RNA", at positions 28 to 507 of the family's 1533-position model. The record is from RNAcentral.
GACGAACGCUGGCGGCGUGCUUAACACAUGCCAGUCGGACGGAAAGGCCUCUUUCGGGGGGUACUCGAGUGGCGAACGGGUGAGUAACACGUGAGUAACCUGCCCUUGACUUUGGGAUAACUUCAGGAAACUGGGGCUAAUACCGGAUAGGAGCUCCUGCUGCAUGGUGGGGGUUGGAAAGUUUCGGCGGUUGGGGAUGGACUCGCGGCUUAUCAGCUUGUUGGUGGGGUAGUGGCUUACCAAGGCUUUGACGGGUAGCCGGCCUGAGAGGGUGACCGGCCACAUUGGGACUGAGAUACGGCCCAGACUCCUACGGGAGGCAGCAGUGGGGAAUAUUGCACAAUGGGUGGAAGCCUGAUGCAGCAACGCCGUGUGCGGGAUGACGGCCUUCGGGUUGUAAACCGCUUUCGCUCAUGACGAAGCUUUGUGUGACGGUAGUGGGUAAAGAAGCACCGGCUAACUACGUG